UGCAAGUCGAACGAUGAAGCUAGAGCUUGCUCUGGUGAAUUAGUGGCGAACGGGUGAGUAACACGUGAGUAACCUGCCCCGAACUCUGGGAUAACUGCUGGAAACGGUAGCUAAUACUGGAUACGACCUACGAAGGCAUCUUCUGUAGGUGGAAAGAAUUUCGGUUCGGGAUGGACUCGCGGCCUAUCAGCUUGUUGGUGAGGUAAUGGCUCACCAAGGCGACGACGGGUAGCCGGCCUGAGAGGGUGACCGGCCACACUGGGACUGAGACACGGCCCAGACUCCUACGGGAGGCAGCAGUGGGGAAUAUUGCACAAUGGGCGCAAGCCUGAUGCAGCAACGCCGCGUGAGGGAUGACGGCCUUCGGGUUGUAAACCUCUUUUAGUAGGGAAGAAGCGAAAGUGACGGUACCUGCAGAAAAAGCACCGGCUAACUACGUGCCAGCAGCCGCGGUAAUACGUAGGGUGCAAGCGUUGUCCGGAAUUAUUGGGCGUAAAGAGCUCGUAGGCGGCUUGUCGCGUCUGCUGUGAAAACCCGAGGCUCAACCUCGGGCCUGCAGUGGGUACGGGCAAGCUAGAGUGCGGUAGGGGAGAUUGGAACUCCUGGUGUAGCGGUGGAAUGCGCAGAUAUCAGGAAGAACACCGAUGGCGAAGGCAGAUCUCUGGGCCGUUACUGACGCUGAGGAGCGAAAGCGUGGGGA
This 700-nucleotide ribosomal RNA is filed under the name uncultured bacterium. Its description in RNAcentral is "bacterial SSU rRNA". It matches the Rfam family "Bacterial small subunit ribosomal RNA", at positions 56 to 767 of the family's 1533-position model. The record is from RNAcentral.